This 459-nucleotide ribosomal RNA is filed under the name Leucocoprinus gongylophorus. RNAcentral describes it as "eukaryotic LSU rRNA". It matches the Rfam family "Eukaryotic large subunit ribosomal RNA", at positions 1 to 451 of the family's 3401-position model. The record is from RNAcentral. Lineage: Eukaryota; Fungi; Basidiomycota; Agaricomycetes; Agaricales; Agaricaceae.
UUGACCUCAAAUCAGGUGGGACUACCCGCUGAACUUAAGCAUAUCAAUAAGCGGAGGAAAAGAAACUAACAAGGAUUCCCUUAGUAACUGCGAGUGAAGUGGGAAGAGCUCAAAUUUGAAAUCUGGCAGUCUCUGCCUGUCCGAGUUGUAAUCUAGAGAAGUGUUGCCCGCGCUGGACCGUGUACAAGUCUCCUGGGAUGGAGCGUCAUAGAGGGUGAGAAUCCCGUCUCUGACAUGGACUACCAGGGCUUUUGUGGUGCGCUCUCAAAGAGUCGAGUUGUUUGGGAAUGCAGCUCAAAAUGGGUGGUAAAUUCCAUCUGAAGCUAAAUAUUGGCGAGAGACCGAUAGUGAACAAGUACCGUGAGGGAAAGAUGAAAAGAACUUUGGAAAGAGAGUUAAACAGUACGUGAAAUUGCUGAAAGGGAAACGCUUGAAGUCAGUCGCGUUGGCCAGGGAUCA